CUGCCAUGAUUGUGAUGCCUCCUGAGCCGUGUGGAACUGCCUGUGAAGUGGUUGCUGCUAUUCUGACCACGUUGUACAUCAAAGGCUGGGCACGAAGGCUUCUGGACUUAAUGAAGAAAGUUUAUCGAAAACUGCAUGUAAGACUUUUAGAAGCUGGACAGUGGAAACAAAAACAGGAAAAGGAAGGAAGGGAGGGAAGACAGAAGGAAGAACCAAAGAGACGCAGGUAUGAGUGAUGAGGCUUGAUUUAUGUAACUUUUGUUUUAUAGUAUAAAUGAAAAUAACCUAGAUGGCAAACUAUUUAAUUAUUUGAGCGGAACUUAUGAAUGAAAGAUAUGUUUUAGAGCUAUGUGACGGAGGGACAUUUUAACUUGAACUUUUUAGUGGCAAAAGUAGUGUAUAAACUAAUGUUAGUAUAUACGCUACAAAUGUGCUUAGUAUGGAAUAUUUUUUAAUGUAAUUUUAAAAAUGAAAGUCUUUUUUUUUUUUACAGUGAAGGCAAAUAACACUAAUUAUUUUUAUGGGUACAAGUGAAUGAUUUAUUUAUUACAUUGACAUACUUAACUAUUAGCAUUUUGGGGAAGCUGGAUUUUCUAUAAGCUUAUUUUGAAAAACAUGGUUUAUUAAAUUUUAUAAUAAAGUUAUUAAUAAAGACAUAGUUGAGUUUUUAUAAACACUAAAUGUGUAUAUUUGUUAUGGUUUUAAAUGUUAAAGAAAAAACUUUGAAAAUUAAUAUUGUGAUAAUAUACAUGCUUUGUGGUUGCUAUUAAAUUUAAGACCAAGAAGAAUGCCUAGAAUUGUUAAAUUCAAGAAAAUUGAAAUUUCAAGUACCCUCUCAGACUACAGUGGAAUAAAACUGGAAAUUAACUCCAAAGGAGUCCUCAAAACUACAGAAAUAAAUGAAAAUUAAAUAAUCUAUUCUUAAGUGAUCAGUGAGUCUAUAAUAAAAUCAAGAUAGAAAUUUAAAAAUUAUUUGUGCUGAACAAUAAUAGUGGCAAAACUUAUCAAAACCUCUGGGAUAUAGCAAAGGUGGUGCUAAGAGGGAAGUUCACAGUGUUAAAUGCCUACAACAAAAAGUCUGAAAGAGUGCAAAGAGACAAUCUAAGGUCACGCCUCAAGGAACUGGAGAAACAAGAACAAAACAAACUGAAACACAGCAGAAGACAAAACAUAACAAAGAUUAAAGUACAACUAAAUGAAAUUGAAACAAAAAACAUAAA
Molecule: long non-coding RNA, 1220 nt
Organism: Macaca mulatta (Rhesus monkey)
Lineage: Eukaryota; Metazoa; Chordata; Mammalia; Primates; Cercopithecidae
Source: RefSeq, a predicted model, not a curated record